Molecule: small RNA, 569 nt
Filed under: Pongo abelii (Sumatran orangutan)
Lineage: Eukaryota; Metazoa; Chordata; Mammalia; Primates; Hominidae
Description: retained intron
Source: RNAcentral
AUAAGUUAAUUUUCUUUUCCAGUUAAUGAUUUUCGCAGUGUUUCCUUGAACUUGCUACAGACACAUUUUAAGAAAGCCCAAGAAAAUCAGCAGAUUGGGAGGGUCGAAUUUCUUCCAGUCAACUGGCACAGUCCUUUGCAUUCUACUGGUGUGGAUGUAGAUCUGCAGCGAAUAACCCUGCCCAGCAUUAACCGCCUCAGGCACUUCACCAAUGACACAAUUCUGGAUGUCUUCUUCUACAAUAGUCCCACCUACUGUCAGACUAUUGUGGACACAGUUGCUUCUGAAAUGAACCGAAUAUACACACUUUUUCUGCAGAGGAACCCUGAUUUCAAAGGGGGUGUAUCCAUUGCUGGUCAUAGUUUAGGUAACAAAAUGAGUUCUGUGUGACCAGAGAAGACUAGCACAUUUUAAAGACACCUGUUAGCACAAUGUCUUGUAUCCGUAUGAAAUUCAGAGGUCUAGAAGUGGUCUGUGAUCAAGAAAUUUGGAAGGGGUUGGAAGGGUGGCGGUAAAUUGGAAAGAAAGACUCCUUGCUAUGUAGAUUUGGUUACAUAUGUAAUUGGCUU